UGGCGGGGCUGGAGGCACAGCCUCCCCGUCCGGGGCAAGUCCGAGAGCGGGGAGGGCGUUUCCUGGGGUAACUCCACCUGGGGUCUUGUCGAAGUUGCCGCAUCUCCGCCGGACCGCACGGGAACGACGUGCCCACACUCGGAGGAAGGGGUUGGCGCUGAGCGAGUUUAAAGGGUUCCUUUUGAAAGCAGGAAGUUUGAAGUGACGUUGCAUCAGCAACAGAGCAUGCAGUUUCAGGUGCUCUCGGGACAGCUUUCAGUUUCUCAGAACAAGUCUAAGCCUCACCGCAGUAAUAACUUUUAUUAGAGGACAAAAAAUCCGCCAAAGUAAACCCUUUCUGUCCAACCCCUAAAAACCUUUGGAUAAACGUUUACAAGAAACGGAUCACAGCCUUAUUUGUUUUUCUAAACUGAGCAUAAACUCUUUUGAAGACUCAGCGUUACUGUCAAAAUGAAUGAGUGCCUGCCUAGUUAUGAUUCAAUUAUCGAGGUGUUUGGGUCUCUGCAGUACACUCAGUGACUCCCAGGCUUUUCUUUUUUCUCUUUGAAAUUGCUUAUUAGAAGGCUUUAUCUAAUUUCUCACAGUUGUGUGUCUUUUUGAGGUAGUUCUAAUAAACUUUAAAGGCUUCUGGUUUGCUGCAGGCCUGCCGUCGCUGUGGAAAGCAAGUAUUCUUUCAAAGAAGAAUAGAAGUGCAUUGGUUUCUAAAUAAUCCCAGGACGCUAGGAUCAGCAUCACUUGGGAACUUCUUGGAAAUGCACAUUUUGGGGUCUUAUCCCAAACUUACUGAAUCAGAAAUAUAUUUUAACAAGCCUUCCAGUUGAUACCAAUGCACCUGGACGCUAAAGUUUGAGAAUUAAUGGCGUAGUGAUAACACCCAUUGUGGAAUCACAUAUAAUGGAAUUUGAAUUGAAGUAAUUCCUAGAUGGAAAAACUUGGACAUGUUACCUCACAGGGCUGGAAUAUGAAGAUGCAAGAAAAAUGUUUAACACAAAACACAUAGAAAACCCUCAAAGAUGUUAUUAAGUAACUUAUUAGAACUGCAUAAAAUAAGUACAUAGUUUGUGCUGGAAGGAUUCUUCAGCGGGGUAGAUAUGAGCUGUAGCGCAUGGAUAUUGGGACUGCUGCUUAGAGGGUAUUUUGUUUACCUCGGGAUUCUCAAUUCUGUGUAGUCAAGGUUGUUGGAUGCAGGAUAUUCAGUUAAAAGUUAAAGCAGUGCAUACUAAUGCUAUUGUGGUUGUAGGAUUUUUAAGAAUAGCAUUAGUAUUUAUGUUGAAGAGUAGUUUUUAAUUCUUUGGCCUUCUGAUCUCUUCAGCUUUGUUUGGAGACAGUCUCUUUCUGCCACCCAGGCUGGAGUGCAAUGGUGCAAUCUUGGAUCACUGUAACCGCUGCCUCCAGGGUUCAAACGAUUCUCCUGCCUCAGCUUCCCAGGUAGCUGGGAUUACAGGCGUCUGCCACCACGCCCAGCUAAUUUUUGUAUUUUUAGUAGAGACGGUUUCACCACGUUUGCCAAGCUGGUCCCGAACUCCUGACCUCAGGUAAUCCACCUGCCUCGUCUUCAGUUUAGUUAUACCUUCUUUGACCCAGAAUUUGGUAAAGACCAGAGGGGUCCAUUGUAGGGGGAGAAAGAAAUAUUCAGGAUUUAAAGCAGCUGCUCUAAAGGCUACAUUCACUGCAAUGUUGAGAAGGGAGCCUCUUAAACAGAAUCUUACCUGUAAAACUCAGGAGCCGAGAAGCUUUAAGAACAGUGAGGUUGAAGGGCACAGGCUCUUGGUCCUUGGCAGCGAUAUUAGGAGGCGUGCCUAGGGAACCUCGGAUUCCGGGGAGCUGGACGUGAAACUCUGUGGUGGAAUAGAAAUCCUCAGGGCAUGAGCUAUACCUAAAACG
RNAcentral lists this long non-coding RNA (1884 nucleotides) under Homo sapiens (human). RNAcentral's name for it is "HSALNT0048192". Lineage: Eukaryota; Metazoa; Chordata; Mammalia; Primates; Hominidae. The record is from RNAcentral.